This 76-nucleotide transfer RNA is filed under the name Patescibacteria group bacterium. RNAcentral describes it as "tRNA-Ala". It matches the Rfam family "tRNA". From Rfam's summary of the family: Transfer RNA (tRNA) molecules are approximately 80 nucleotides in length. Their secondary structure includes four short double-helical elements and three loops (D, anti-codon, and T loops). The record is from RNAcentral.
GGGCCCUUAGCUCAUCUGGUAGAGCGCCUGCUUUGCAAGCAGGAGGUAGCCGGUUCGAGUCCGGCAGGGUCCACCA